Molecule: ribosomal RNA, 450 nt
Filed under: uncultured bacterium
Lineage: Bacteria
Description: partial 16S ribosomal RNA
Rfam family: Bacterial small subunit ribosomal RNA
Source: RNAcentral
GUGGGGAAUCUUCCGCAAUGGACGAAAGUCUGACGGAGCAACGCCGCGUGAGUGAUGAAGGUCUUCGGAUUGUAAAGCUCUGUUAAUCGGGACGAAAGAGCCUAGUGUGAAUAAUGCUAGGAAGUGACGGUACCGGAAUAGAAAGCCACGGCUAACUACGUGCCAGCAGCCGCGGUAAUACGUAGGUGGCAAGCGUUGUCCGGAAUUAUUGGGCGUAAAGCGCGCGCAGGCGGAUCUGCCAGUCUGUCUUAAAAGUUCGGGGCUUAACCCCGUGAUGGGAUCGAAACUACAGAUCUAGAGUAUCGGAGAGGAAAGUGGAAUUCCUAGUGUAGCGGUGAAAUGCGUAGAUAUUAGGAAGAACACCAGUGGCGAAGGCGACUUUCUGGACGAAAACUGACGCUGAGGCGCGAAAGCCAGGGGAGCGAACGGGAUUAGAAACCCCUGUAGUCC